CCCCUUGUAGCUCAACGGAUAGAGCACCCCCGUCCUAAGGGGGUGAUAGAGGUUCAAUUCCUCUCGAGGGGA
Molecule: transfer RNA, 72 nt
Filed under: Candidatus Sungbacteria bacterium RIFCSPHIGHO2_01_FULL_47_32
Lineage: Bacteria; Candidatus Sungiibacteriota
Also listed under: 3 other names
Description: tRNA-Arg
Rfam family: tRNA
About the family: Transfer RNA (tRNA) molecules are approximately 80 nucleotides in length. Their secondary structure includes four short double-helical elements and three loops (D, anti-codon, and T loops).
Source: RNAcentral